GCGUGUGGUGAUCGCACCUGUAGUCCCAACUACUCAGGAGGCUCAGCCCGCUGGAUUGCUGAUCCCAGGAGUUCUGGGGCUGCAGUACGCUAUGCCAAGAGGGUGUCUGCGCUAAGGCCAGCAUCAAUAAGGUGAGCCCCCAGGAAGCCAGGGCACACCAGUGUUGACUAAGGGAGGGAUGAACUGGCCCAUGUAGAGACGAAAGGUCAGAGCUCCCUGGCCGUCAGUAAGGGGAUCGCACCUGUGAAUAGCCACUGCAGCAUAGCAUGGGCAACAUUGAGAGACGCGGGGA
This 292-nucleotide signal recognition particle RNA is filed under the name Strigops habroptila (Kakapo). Its description in RNAcentral is "Metazoan signal recognition particle RNA (ENSSHBG00005019700.1)". It matches the Rfam family "Metazoan signal recognition particle RNA". From Rfam's summary of the family: The signal recognition particle (SRP) is a universally conserved ribonucleoprotein. Lineage: Eukaryota; Metazoa; Chordata; Aves; Psittaciformes; Psittacidae. The record is from Rfam by way of RNAcentral.